Molecule: ribosomal RNA, 468 nt
Filed under: uncultured bacterium
Lineage: Bacteria
Description: partial 16S ribosomal RNA
Rfam family: Bacterial small subunit ribosomal RNA
Source: RNAcentral
GACGAACGCUGGCGGCGUGCUUAACACAUGCAAGUCGAACGGAAAGGCCCUGCUUGUGUGGGGUGCUCGAGUGGCGAACGGGUGAGUAACACGUGAGUAACCUGCCCUUGACUUUGGGAUAACUUCAGGAAACUGGGGCUAAUACCAGAUAGGAGCUCCUGCUGCAUGGUGGGGGUUGGAAAGUUUCGGCGGUUGGGGAUGGACUCGCGGCUUAUCAGCUUGUUGGUGGGGUAGUGGCUUACCAAGGCUUUGACGGGUAGCCGGCCUGAGAGGGUGACCGGCCACAUUGGGACUGAGAUACGGCCCAGACUCCUACGGGAGGCAGCAGUGGGGAAUAUUGCACAAUGGGCGGAAGCCUGAUGCAGCAACGCCGCGUGCGGGAUGACGGCCUUCGGGUUGUAAACCGCUUUCGCCUGUGACGAAGCGUGAGUGACGGUAAUGGGUAAAGAAGCACCGGCUAACUACGUG